GAAAGACUAAGGGAGCGUUUGGCCUAACUUUUAAAAAACUUUUUUGGACUGAAAAGUGAUUUUCGGCUCAAUAGAACGUUUGGCAACUCACUUUUAAAAUCUGAUUUUUCUUUUUAGAAUCAGAAAACAGAUUUUGAAGACCUCAAAAUCAGAAGCAGAAAAAAGCUGCUUCUUGAAGACUGAUUCUGAUUUUGGAUUUAAACUUCAAAAUUUUAUUUUUAUUUUAGUUUUAAUAUUUAAAUUUAAUUUUAAUUUUAAAUUUUGAAUUUUAAUUUUCAGAUUCAUUUUCAAAUUUUUAAAUUUUAAAUUUUGAAUUUUAAAUUUUGAAAUAUAGAUUUUAAAUUUCAAAUUUUAAUUUUAAAUUUUAAAUCUCAAAUUUUAGAUUUUAAAAUUUCAAAUUUUAUUUCAAAUUUCAGAUUUUAAAAUUUCAAAUUUCAAAUUUCAAAUUUCAGAUUUUAAAAUUUUAAAUUUCAAAUUUCAAAUUUUAAAUUUUAAAUUUAAAAUUUAAAUUUCAAAUUUUAAAUUUCAAAUUUGACAAUUUAGAUUUUAAAAUUUAAAUGUAAAAAUUUAAAAUUUUUAAAUUUUAAAUUAUAAAUUUUAAUCUUCAAAUUAUAAAUUUCAAAUUUUUAAAAUUAAAAAUUUAUAAAUUUUAAUCUUCAAAUUAUAAAUUUAAAAUUUUAUAAUUUAAAAUUUAAAAUUUUAAUUUUUAAAUUUUAAAUAUUCAAAUUUUAAAUUUUAAAUUUUAAAUAUUCAAAUUUUAAAUUUUAUAUUUUAAAUAUUCAAAUUUUAAAUUUUAUAUUUUAAAUUUCAUAAUUAUUUUAAAUUUUAAAUUUUAAAUUUAAAUUUUAAAUUUAAAUUUUAAAUUUAAAUUUUAAAUUUAAAUUUUAAAUUUUAAAGUUUAAAAUUUAAAUAUAUUUUUAAAAUUAAAUCGCUUUUCAAACAGCUUUUCAAAAUUUUUAAUUUGCCAAACAACUUUUUAAAAUCACUUCAGAAAAAAUCACUUUUAUCUAAACUCUGCCAAACGCUCUAUACCUUUUCCGCAAAAUCACUUCUCCAAACCAAAAUCACUUUUCAGAAAUUACUUUUUCAGAAGCUAGGCCAAACAGGUCCUAAAUUGCAAUGAAAAGUGAGAGAGAAAGAGCUUUCCAAAAUCAAAAUGUAAAAUUUUCAAUCUUGGUUCUCUCCC
RNAcentral lists this long non-coding RNA (1186 nucleotides) under Ananas comosus (pineapple). RNAcentral describes it as "long non-coding RNA (ACOM_LNC010726)". The record is from RNAcentral. Lineage: Eukaryota; Viridiplantae; Streptophyta; Magnoliopsida; Poales; Bromeliaceae.